ACCCCCACGUCCCCACCCAAAAAAUCCUCAUUAAUCUCUCUCUGUUUUGCAAACUUAAUUCUUAUUCAAUUUGAAGGAUAAAAAUAACUGCUCUAAAACAACAACUCUACUUGUCAUCUCCGAUUGAAAAAAUGAUGAAUUUUAAUAGUUUCUUCUCAUCAAGGAAGCGGCAAAGCCGUUGGUAAUCAAAGAAUUGGAUGUGGCACCUCCAAAGAAAUAUGAAGUCUGCCUCAAGAUUCUUUUCACCUCCUUGUGGCACACUGAUGUUUACUUCUGGGAAGCUAAGGUA
This is a long non-coding RNA of Solanum tuberosum (potato), 289 nucleotides long. RefSeq lists it as uncharacterized. Lineage: Eukaryota; Viridiplantae; Streptophyta; Magnoliopsida; Solanales; Solanaceae. The transcript is spliced from 2 exons. The record is from RefSeq and is a predicted model, not a curated record.